UACGUAGGCAGCGAGCGUUGUUCGGAGUUACUGGGCGUAAAGGGUGUGUAGGCGGUUGUUUAAGUUUGGUGUGAAAUCUCCCGGCUCAACUGGGAGGGUACGCCGAAUACUGAAUGACUAGAGUGUGGGAGAGGAAAGUGGAAUUCCUGGUGUAGCGGUGAAAUGCGCAGAUAUCUGGGGGAAGGCCGGCGGCGAAGGCGCCAUUCUGGGAAUUUCCUGACACUGAGGCGCGAAAGCGUGGGGAGCAAACAGG
RNAcentral lists this ribosomal RNA (253 nucleotides) under uncultured bacterium. RNAcentral describes it as "partial 16S ribosomal RNA". It matches the Rfam family "Bacterial small subunit ribosomal RNA", at positions 524 to 776 of the family's 1533-position model. The record is from RNAcentral.